CCAGCCCGCUCAGAAACGUUAAAGGAAUUGACGGGGGCCCGCACAAGCGGUGGAGUAUGUGGUUUAAUUCGAUGCAACGCGAAGAACCUUACCUGGUCUUGACAUCCCGGAGACCCUUAGGAAACUAGGGGGGUGCUUCCAUCUGGAAGAAUCUGGAGACAGGUGCUGCAUGGCUGUCGUCAGCUCGUGUCGUGAGAUGUUGGGUUAAGUCCCGCAACGAGCGCAACCCUUGCCUUUAGUUGCCAGCAGUUCGGCUGGGCACUCUAAAGGGACUGCCGGUGUUAAACCGGAGGAAGGUGGGGAUGACGUCAAGUCCUCAUGGCCUUUAUGACCAGGGCUACACACGUACUACAAUGGCCGAUACAAAGGGCAGCGACACUGCGAGGUGAAGCCAAUCCCGUAAAAUCGGUCUCAGUCCGGAUUGGAGUCUGCAACUCGACUCCAUGAAGUUGGAAUCGCUAGUAAUCGUGGAUCAGCAUGCCACGGUGAAUACGUUCCCGGGCCUU
RNAcentral lists this ribosomal RNA (506 nucleotides) under uncultured Desulfobulbus sp. RNAcentral describes it as "bacterial SSU rRNA". It matches the Rfam family "Bacterial small subunit ribosomal RNA", at positions 903 to 1382 of the family's 1533-position model. The record is from RNAcentral. Lineage: Bacteria; Pseudomonadati; Thermodesulfobacteriota; Desulfobulbia; Desulfobulbales; Desulfobulbaceae.